GAUGAACGCUGGCGGCGUGCCUAAUACAUGCAAGUCGAGCGAACGGACGAGAAGCUUGCUUCUCUGAUGUUAGCGGCGGACGGGUGAGUAACACGUGGAUAACCUACCUAUAAGACUGGGAUAACUUCGGGAAACCGGAGCUAAUACCGGAUAAUAUUUUGAACCGCAUGGUUCAAAAGUGAAAGACGGUCUUGCUGUCACCUAUAGAUGGAUCCGCGCUGCAUUAGCUAGCUGGUAAGGUAACGGCUGACCAAGGCAACGAUGCCUAGCCGACCUGAGAGGGUGAUCGGCCACACUGGAACUGAGACACGGUCCAGACUCCUACGGGAGGCAGCAGUAGGGAAUCUUCCGCAAUGGGCGAAAGCCUGACGGAGCAACGCCGCGUGAGUGAUGAAGGUCUUCGGAUCGUAAAACUCUGUUAUUAGGGAAGAACAUAUGUGUAAGUAACUGUGCACAUCUUGACGGUACCUAAUCAGAAAGCCACGGCUAACUACGUG
Molecule: ribosomal RNA, 497 nt
Filed under: uncultured bacterium
Lineage: Bacteria
Description: partial 16S ribosomal RNA
Rfam family: Bacterial small subunit ribosomal RNA
Source: RNAcentral